UCUUUGGCAGUCCAGUGGUUAGGACUUGGUGCUUUCACUGCCAUGAGCUUGGGUUCAAUCCCUGGUCAGGGAA
This 73-nucleotide transfer RNA is filed under the name Bos taurus (domestic cattle). It matches the Rfam family "tRNA". Rfam says of the family: Transfer RNA (tRNA) molecules are approximately 80 nucleotides in length. Their secondary structure includes four short double-helical elements and three loops (D, anti-codon, and T loops). Further hydrogen bonds mediate the characteristic L-shaped molecular structure. tRNAs have two regions of fundamental functional importance: the anti-codon, which is responsible for specific mRNA codon recognition, and the 3' end, to which the tRNAs corresponding amino acid is attached (by aminoacyl-tRNA synthetases). tRNAs cope with the degeneracy of the genetic code in two manners: having more than one tRNA (with a specific anti-codon) for a particular amino acid; and 'wobble' base-pairing, i.e. permitting non-standard base-pairing at the 3rd anti-codon position. The record is from Rfam by way of RNAcentral. RNAcentral also lists the same sequence under 1 other name. Lineage: Eukaryota; Metazoa; Chordata; Mammalia; Artiodactyla; Bovidae.